RNAcentral lists this ribosomal RNA (925 nucleotides) under uncultured bacterium. RNAcentral describes it as "bacterial SSU rRNA". It matches the Rfam family "Bacterial small subunit ribosomal RNA", at positions 1 to 914 of the family's 1533-position model. The record is from RNAcentral.
UUCGCCCUUAGAGUUUGAUCCUGGCUCAGGAUGAACGCUAGCUACAGGCUUAACACAUGCAAGUCGAGGGGAAACGACAUCGAAAGCUUGCUUUUGAUGGGCGUCGACCGGCGCACGGGUGAGUAACGCGUAUCCAACCUGCCCACCACUUGGGGAUAACCUUGCGAAAGUAAGACUAAUACCCAAUGACGUCUCUAGAAGACAUCUGAAAGAGAUUAAAGAUUUAUCGGUGAUGGAUGGGGAUGCGUCUGAUUAGCUUGUUGGCGGGGUAACGGCCCACCAAGGCGACGAUCAGUAGGGGUUCUGAGAGGAAGGUCCCCCACAUUGGAACUGAGACACGGUCCAAACUCCUACGGGAGGCAGCAGUGAGGAAUAUUGGUCAAUGGACGAGAGUCUGAACCAGCCAAGUAGCGUGCAGGAUGACGGCCCUAUGGGUUGUAAACUGCUUUUAUAAGGGAAUAAAGUGAGUCUCGUGAGACUUUUUGCAUGUACCUUAUGAAUAAGGACCGGCUAAUUCCGUGCCAGCAGCCGCGGUAAUACGGAAGGUCCGGGCGUUAUCCGGAUUUAUUGGGUUUAAAGGGAGCGUAGGCCGGAGAUUAAGCGUGUUGUGAAAUGUAGACGCUCAACGUCUGCACUGCAGCGCGAACUGGUUUCCUUGAGUACGCACAAAGUGGGCGGAAUUCGUGGUGUAGCGGUGAAAUGCUUAGAUAUCACGAAGAACUCCGAUUGCGAAGGCAGCUCACUGGAGCGCAACUGACGCUGAAGCUCGAAAGUGCGGGUAUCGAACAGGAUUAGAUACCCUGGUAGUCCGCACGGUAAACGAUGGAUGCCCGCUGUUGGUCUGAAUAGGUCAGCGGCCAAGCGAAAGCAUUAAGCAUCCCACCUGGGGAGUACGCCGGCAACGGUGAAACUCAAAUGAAUUGAC